UACGUAGGGUGCGAGCGUUAAUCGGAAUUACUGGGCGUAAAGCGCGCGCAGGCGGUUUUUCAAGUCAGUGGUGAAAGCCCGGAGCUCAACUCCGGAACUGCCAUUGAAACUGUGAAACUUGAGGAUGAGAGAGGUGAGUGGAAUUCCCAGUGUAGAGGUGAAAUUCGUAGAUAUUGGGAAGAACACCGGUGGCGAAGGCGGCUCACUGGCUCAUUUCUGACGCUCAGGCGCGACAGCGUGGGGAUCAAACAGG
RNAcentral lists this ribosomal RNA (253 nucleotides) under uncultured bacterium. RNAcentral's name for it is "partial 16S ribosomal RNA". It matches the Rfam family "Bacterial small subunit ribosomal RNA", at positions 524 to 776 of the family's 1533-position model. The record is from RNAcentral.